AAGUCGAACGAGUUCUCGUUGAUGAUCGGUGCUUGCACCGAGAUUCAACAUGGAACGAGUGGCGGACGGGUGAGUAACACGUGGGUAACCUGCCCUUAAGUGGGGGAUAACAUUUGGAAACAGAUGCUAAUACCGCAUAGAUCCAAGAACCGCAUGGUUCUUGGCUGAAAGAUGGCGUAAGCUAUCGCUUUUGGAUGGACCCGCGGCGUAUUAGCUAGUUGGUGAGGUAAUGGCUCACCAAGGCGAUGAUACGUAGCCGAACUGAGAGGUUGAUCGGCCACAUUGGGACUGAGACACGGCCCAAACUCCUACGGGAGGCAGCAGUAGGGAAUCUUCCACAAUGGACGCAAGUCUGAUGGAGCAACGCCGCGUGAGUGAAGAAGGCUUUCGGGUCGUAAAACUCUGUUGUUGGAGAAGAAUGGUCGGCAGAGUAACUGUUGCCGGCGUGACGGUAUCCAACCAGAAAGCCACGGCUAACUACGUGCCAGCAGCCGCGGUAAUACGUAGGUGGCAAGCGUUAUCCGGAUUUAUUGGGCGUAAAGCGAGCGCAGGCGGUUUUUUAAGUCUGAUGUGAAAGCCCUCGGCUUAACCGAGGAAGCGCAUCGGAAACUGGGAAACUUGAGUGCAGAAGAGGACAGUGGAACUCCAUGUGUAGCGGUGAAAUGCGUAGAUAUAUGGAAGAACACCAGUGGCGAAGGCGGCUGUCUGGUCUGUAACUGACGCUGAGGCUCGAAAGCAUGGGUAGCGAACAGGAUUAGAUACCCUGGUAGUCCAUGCCGUAAACGAUGAAUGC
RNAcentral lists this ribosomal RNA (793 nucleotides) under uncultured bacterium. RNAcentral's name for it is "bacterial SSU rRNA". It matches the Rfam family "Bacterial small subunit ribosomal RNA", at positions 59 to 816 of the family's 1533-position model. The record is from RNAcentral.